AUUGAACGCUGGCGGCGUGCCUAACACAUGCAAGUCGAGCGGUAAGGCCCUUUCGGGGGUACGACGAGCGGCGAACGGGUGAGUAACACGUGGGUGACCUGCCCUCAGCUCUGGGAUAAGCCUGGGAAACCGGGUCUAAUACUGGAUAUGACUCCAUGACGCAUGUUGUGGGGUGGAAAGCCUUGUGCGGCUGAGGAUGGGCCCGCGGCCUAUCAGCUUGUUGGUGGGGUGAUGGCCUACCAAGGCGACGACGGGUAGCCGGCCUGAGAGGGCGACCGGCCACACUGGGACUGAGACACGGCCCAGACUCCUACGGGAGGGCAGCAGUGGGGAAUCUUGCGCAAUGGGCGCAAGCCUGACGAAGCAACGCCGCGUAGAGGAUGAAGGCCCUCGCGGUCGUAAACUCUUGUCUAGCGGGACGAAACCUCCAUAAGUGAAUAACUUAUGGAAUUGACUGUACCGCUGGA
Molecule: ribosomal RNA, 467 nt
Filed under: uncultured bacterium
Lineage: Bacteria
Description: bacterial SSU rRNA
Rfam family: Bacterial small subunit ribosomal RNA
Source: RNAcentral